This 253-nucleotide ribosomal RNA is filed under the name uncultured bacterium. RNAcentral describes it as "partial 16S ribosomal RNA". It matches the Rfam family "Bacterial small subunit ribosomal RNA", at positions 524 to 776 of the family's 1533-position model. The record is from RNAcentral.
UACGAAGGGGGCUAGCGUUGCUCGGAAUCACUGGGCGUAAAGGGUGCGUAGGCGGGUUUUUAAGUCAGGGGUGAAAUCCUGGAGCUCAACUCCAGAACUGCCUUUGAUACUGAAGAUCUUGAGUCCGGGAGAGGUGAGUGGAACUGCGAGUGUAGAGGUGAAAUUCGUAGAUAUUCGCAAGAACACCAGUGGCGAAGGCGGCUGACUGGUCCGGUUCUGACGCUGAGGCGCGAAGGCGUGGGGAGCAAACAGG